UUUUUAUGGUUUUUCU
RNAcentral lists this small RNA (16 nucleotides) under Arabidopsis thaliana (thale cress). RNAcentral's name for it is "ATSL111990". The record is from RNAcentral. Lineage: Eukaryota; Viridiplantae; Streptophyta; Magnoliopsida; Brassicales; Brassicaceae.